GAUCCUUCGGGAUUAGUGGCAGACGGGUGAGUAACGCGUGGGAAGCUACCUUGUGGUAGGGGACAACAGUUGGAAACGACUGCUAAUACCCUAUGAGCCCUAUGGGGGAAAGAUUUAUCGCCAUGAGAUGUGCCCGCGUUAGAUUAGCUAGUUGGUAAGGUAAUGGCUUACCAAGGCGACGAUCUAUAGCUGGUCUGAGAGGAUGAUCAGCCACACUGGGACUGAGACACGGCCCAGACUCCUACGGGAGGCAGCAGUGGGGAAUAUUGGACAAUGGGGGCAACCCUGAUCCAGCCAUGCCGCGUGUGUGAUGACGGCCUUAGGGUUGUAAAGCACUUUCAGCAGUGAAGAUAAUGACAUUAACUGCAGAAGAAGCCCCGGCUAACUUCGUGCCAGCAGCCGCGGUAAUACGAAGGGG
This 418-nucleotide ribosomal RNA is filed under the name Pseudovibrio sp. AU454_bs_Ted1_MB20SE. RNAcentral's name for it is "bacterial SSU rRNA". It matches the Rfam family "Bacterial small subunit ribosomal RNA", at positions 72 to 533 of the family's 1533-position model. The record is from RNAcentral. Lineage: Bacteria; Pseudomonadati; Pseudomonadota; Alphaproteobacteria; Hyphomicrobiales; Stappiaceae.